RNAcentral lists this ribosomal RNA (1491 nucleotides) under uncultured rumen bacterium. RNAcentral describes it as "bacterial SSU rRNA". It matches the Rfam family "Bacterial small subunit ribosomal RNA". The record is from RNAcentral.
AGAGUUUGAUCAUGGCUCAGGAUGAACGCUAGCUACAGGCUUAACACAUGCAAGUCGAGGGGCAGCGUGUACAGGUGCUUGCACCAGUACGACGGCGACCGGCGCACGGGUGAGUAACGCGUAUCCAACCUGCCAUAUACUCGGGGAUAGCCCGGUGAAAACCGAAUUAACACCCGAUGAGAUUCCUUGCGGACAUCCAACUGGAAUCAAAGUUUACGGUAUAUGAUGGGGAUGCGUCUGAUUAGCUUGUUGGCGGGGUAACGGCCCACCAAGGCGACGAUCAGUAGGGGUUCUGAGAGGAAGGUCCCCCACAUUGGUACUGAGACACGGACCAAACUCCUACGGGAGGCAGCAGUGAGGAAUAUUGGUCAAUGGGCGAGAGCCUGAACCAGCCAAGUAGCGUGCAGGAUGACGGCCCUAUGGGUUGUAAACUGCUUUUGUAAGGGAACAAAGUGCGGGACGUGUCCUGCUUUGCGUGUACCUUACGAAUAAGGACCGGCUAAUUCCGUGCCAGCAGCCGCGGUAAUACGGAAGGUCCGGGCGUUAUCCGGAUUUAUUGGGUUUAAAGGGAGCGUAGGCCGAAGGUUAAGCGUGUUGUGAAAUGUAGUCGCUCAACGGGUGCACUGCAGCGCGAACUGGCUUUCUUGAGUGCGCGGAAAGUUGGCGGAAUUCGUUGUGUAGCGGUGAAAUGCUUAGAUAUGACGAAGAACUCCGAUUGCGAAGGCAGCUGACUGUAGCGUAACUGACGCUGAUGCUCGAAAGCGUGGGUAUCGAACAGGAUUAGAUACCCUGGUAGUCCACGCGGUAAACGAUGGAUGCUCGCUGUUUGCCUUAUCUGGUAAGUGGCCAAGCGAAAGCAUUAAGCAUCCCACCUGGGGAGUACGCCGGCAACGGUGAAACUCAAAGGAAUUGACGGGGGCCCGCACAAGCGGAGGAACAUGUGGUUUAAUUCGAUGAUACGCGAGGAACCUUACCCGGGCUUGAACUGCCAGCGGACGAUUCAGAGAUGAUGAGGCCCUUCGGGGCGCUGGUGGAGGUGCUGCAUGGUUGUCGUCAGCUCGUGCCGUGAGGUGUCGGCUUAAGUGCCAUAACGAGCGCAACCCUUUUCCCCGGUUGCCAUCAGGUAGUGCUGGGCACUCCGUGGAUACUGCCACCGCAAGGUGUGAGGAAGGUGGGGAUGACGUCAAAUCAGCACGGCCCUUACGUCCGGGGCUACACACGUGUUACAAUGGCGCGUACAGAGAGCCGGUCCCUGGCAACAGGGGUCAAAUCCUUAAAACGCGUCGUAGUUCGGAUUGGGGUCUGCAACCCGACCCCAUGAAGCUGGAUUCGCUAGUAAUCGCGCAUCAGCCAUGGCGCGGUGAAUACGUUCCCGGGCCUUGUACACACCGCCCGUCAAGCCAUGAAAGCCGGGGGCACCUGAAGACUGUGACCGCGAGGGGCGGCCUAAGGUGAAACUGGUGAUUGGGGCUAAGUCGUAACAAGGUAGCC